CGUACACUCCUACGGGAGGCAGCAGUGGGGAAUUUUGGACAAUGGGCGAAAGCCUGAUCCAGCCAUGCCGCGUGCAGGAUGAAGGCCUUCGGGUUGUAAACUGCUUUUGUACGGAACGAAACGGCCUUUUCUAAUAAAGAGGGCUAAUGACGGUACCGUAAGAAUAAGCACCGGCUAACUACGUGCCAGCAGCCGCGGUAAUACGUAGGGUGCAAGCGUUAAUCGGAAUUACUGGGCGUAAAGCGUGCGCAGGCGGUUAUGUAAGACAGUUGUGAAAUCCCCGGGCUCAACCUGGGAACUGCAUCUGUGACUGCAUAGCUAGAGUACGGUAGAGGGGGAUGGAAUUCCGCGUGUAGCAGUGAAAUGCGUAGAUAUGCGGAGGAACACCGAUGGCGAAGGCAAUCCCCUGGACCUGUACUGACGCUCAUGCACGAAAGCGUGGGGAGCAAACAGGAUUAGAUACCCCGGUAGUCCCAUGAU
This 480-nucleotide ribosomal RNA is filed under the name uncultured organism. RNAcentral's name for it is "partial 16S ribosomal RNA". It matches the Rfam family "Bacterial small subunit ribosomal RNA", at positions 330 to 801 of the family's 1533-position model. The record is from RNAcentral.